GAAAUGCGAUAAGUAGUGUGAAUUGCAGAAUUCAGUGAAUCAUCGAAUCUUUGAACGCACAUUGCGCCCUUUGGUAUUCCAAAGGGCAUGCCUAUUCGAGCGUCAUUUGUACCCUCAAGCUUUGCUUGGUGUUGGGCGUCUUGUCUCCAGUUCGCUGGAGACUCGCCUUAAAGUAAUUGGCAGCCGGCCUACUGGUUUCGGAGCGCAGCACAAGUCGCGCUCUCUUCCAGCCAAGGUCAGCAUCCACAAAGCCUUUUUUCAACUUUUGACCUCGGAUCAGGUAGGGAUACCCGCUGAACUUAAGC
RNAcentral lists this unclassified non-coding RNA (305 nucleotides) under plant metagenome. RNAcentral's name for it is "partial contains 5.8S ribosomal RNA, internal transcribed spacer 2, and large subunit ribosomal RNA". The stretch from base 1 to 105 matches the Rfam family "5.8S ribosomal RNA", at positions 50 to 154 of the family's 154-position model. The record is from RNAcentral.